UACGUAGGGUCCAAGCGUUAUCCGGAAUUACUGGGCGUAAAGCGUGCGUAGGCGGCUCGUUAAGUGAGAUGUGAAAUCUGGCGGCUCAACCGUCAAACUGCAUCUCAUACUGGCGGGCUAGAGGAUGGCAGAGGCAAGUGGAAUUCGUAGUGUAGCAGUGAAAUGCGUAGAUAUUACGAGGAACACCAAUGGCGAAGGCAGCUUGCUGGGCCACACCUGACGCUCAGGUACGAAAGCGUGGGGAGCGAACAGG
RNAcentral lists this ribosomal RNA (253 nucleotides) under uncultured bacterium. RNAcentral describes it as "partial 16S ribosomal RNA". It matches the Rfam family "Bacterial small subunit ribosomal RNA", at positions 524 to 776 of the family's 1533-position model. The record is from RNAcentral.